GUCUCGGUAGCGUAAAGAAUAGAGCGGGUGCCCGGAAAGCACAAGCACGGGUUCAAAUCCCGCCCGAGACU
RNAcentral lists this transfer RNA (71 nucleotides) under Haemonchus placei. It matches the Rfam family "tRNA". From Rfam's summary of the family: Transfer RNA (tRNA) molecules are approximately 80 nucleotides in length. Their secondary structure includes four short double-helical elements and three loops (D, anti-codon, and T loops). Further hydrogen bonds mediate the characteristic L-shaped molecular structure. tRNAs have two regions of fundamental functional importance: the anti-codon, which is responsible for specific mRNA codon recognition, and the 3' end, to which the tRNAs corresponding amino acid is attached (by aminoacyl-tRNA synthetases). tRNAs cope with the degeneracy of the genetic code in two manners: having more than one tRNA (with a specific anti-codon) for a particular amino acid; and 'wobble' base-pairing, i.e. permitting non-standard base-pairing at the 3rd anti-codon position. Lineage: Eukaryota; Metazoa; Nematoda; Chromadorea; Rhabditida; Trichostrongylidae. The record is from Rfam by way of RNAcentral.